UUUACAUUCCUUUUGCCUCGAUUCAGUUUUUUCUUGCAUGUUUUAAUCUUUCCUUGCAUAUGAAUUUAAAAAUGUUUUCAUUUUGCAUUUUCAUAGGGUGAAUGAAAUUAUAUAACAAGAACAUGUGAAAUUAUGUGAAAAUAAUUAGAGGUUUGAAUAAAAUUGAGCGAAUUUGUGAAUGAGUUAAAACUAUCAUCGGUUAAAUGAUAUGUAACUCAAAAUCUAAAAAGGCAUGUAAUAUUAGUAAAGGAUAUGUGAAAUGGAUUAAUUU
Molecule: long non-coding RNA, 271 nt
Filed under: Carica papaya (papaya)
Lineage: Eukaryota; Viridiplantae; Streptophyta; Magnoliopsida; Brassicales; Caricaceae
Description: long non-coding RNA (CPAP_LNC013083)
Source: RNAcentral